GCAGUGCCCUAGCUCGGCAGGGACCAGUCACUUAGACUAUAUGUGACUGUUUCCUGUCUGGGUAUGGUAAGGCU
Otolemur garnettii (small-eared galago) is the source of this 74-nucleotide non-coding RNA. The record is from Rfam. NCBI's taxonomy places the organism in Eukaryota, Metazoa, Chordata, Mammalia, Primates, Galagidae.